Molecule: ribosomal RNA, 391 nt
Filed under: uncultured bacterium
Lineage: Bacteria
Description: bacterial SSU rRNA
Rfam family: Bacterial small subunit ribosomal RNA
Source: RNAcentral
GGGGAAUCUUGCACAAUGGGGGAAACCCUGAUGCAGCGACGCCGCGUGAACGAUGAAGCCCUUCGGGGUGUAAAGUUCUUUCGACAGGAACGAUAAUGACGGUACCUGGAGAAGAAGCUGCGGCUAACUACGUGCUAGCAGCCGCGGUAAUACGUAGGCAGCGAGCGUUGUUCGGAGUUACUGGGCGUAAAGAGUGCGUAGGCGGCGAGCCAAGUUUGGUGUGAAAUCUCCCGGCUUAACCGGGAGGGUGCGCCGAAAACUGGUUGGCUGGAGUAGGGGAGAGGAAAGCGGAAUUCGUGGUGUAGCGGUGAAAUGCGUAGAUAUCAGGAGGAACACCUGCGGUGUAGACAGCUUUCUGGACCAAAACUGACGCUGAGGCACGAAAGCGUGG